AAAUGUCAAUACUAGUAUCUCUCUCACUAGUAGACAAUCCUCAAACCCUUGACAACUCCACAACAUCCUGCUUCCCUAUCUACUUGUUACCUCCUUGCAAACUUAUCUACUGUCAGUUCUCUCUCACCAGAAUAAGACCCAUGAAGACAAAAGUGGUUUUGUUUUGCUUUACUCCAGCUAUAAACUUAUGGCCUAACACAGUUUCUAAUAAACAGUUUUAGAAUAAUGAUCCAAGAGUUAUACCAACUAUUUAAGGUCCACAAAUUACUCUGGUUUGGAAUAGACUUCAUAAAAAAAACUAAGAUAAAGUGUAAGAGCAAACAAAAAUUAAACAUUUUGUUUUCACAUUUAUAAUACUUAGAGUAAGUUACAACAGUUGGAAGGACAGAAUUGGCAAGUAAAAAAUAACUCAAUGUUUAUUAUAAAAUGAACAUAAAAGAGGGCGAACGUGUGCCCUCAAGUGAUAGAAUGCCUGCCUAGCAAACACAAAGUCUAGAGUUCAAAUUCAAGUACUAAAGAAAAAUAAAUCCCAAGGCUAUAUUACUUUCCCCGUCCUCCCACUUAAAAUACAGUAUUCUGAAACUUUUAUUUCCAUUACAAAUUAGUGAAGAGCCUGUAUUGAGGUAUAGAUAAUAUACUUACCAACUUACUCCUGAAAAGAAGCAGAGACUAUUUCCUGUGCAUUGUAAAUAAUUUUCAGUUAACAGAACAUGUUUUGCACUGUCAGAAGUUUCCAGCAUAAAACAAACAAGAGGGCUAUUCUCAUUCAUUAACAGGAGUUUGACAACCAAUCAACAGGUCAGCAAGAGGCCCUGGGGCAGUAACUGUUCUGUACCUCUUGCCUAUGUUAACUACUUAAUAAUAUGUAGUUGAAGGCGUGAUUAAGCCAAAAAAAUAAUGACCUUUGUUUCUGUAACCUGCAUAUACUGACUCAAAAUUAGUAAUAUGGAUAAGAUGAGCACCAUGAAAUCUUCCUGUUGCAGUAAGAUUACCACAAGGCUGAGAACACUCUUGAGCACCUAAAAAGCCACCCUCAACCUACUCUCAUAGGAAGACUUUUGAACAGAAUCCCCUCUCUUAUUGAGCUGCCCUUUCCAACUGGGUCACCUUCCCAUGUCAUAUCUUAUCUCUUAAUUGGCAGGCUUUUUCUUCACAAAAGUUACAGUAAC
This is a long non-coding RNA of Perognathus longimembris pacificus (Pacific pocket mouse), 1169 nucleotides long. RefSeq lists it as uncharacterized. The record is from RefSeq and is a predicted model, not a curated record. Lineage: Eukaryota; Metazoa; Chordata; Mammalia; Rodentia; Heteromyidae. The transcript has 2 exons.